This is a long non-coding RNA of Oncorhynchus keta (chum salmon), 3572 nucleotides long. RefSeq lists it as uncharacterized. The transcript is spliced from 3 exons. The record is from RefSeq and is a predicted model, not a curated record. Lineage: Eukaryota; Metazoa; Chordata; Actinopteri; Salmoniformes; Salmonidae.
CUGUCUCUCUCUCUCUGUCUCUCUCCCUCUCUCUGUCUCUCUCUCUCUCUCUGUCUCUCUCUCUCUCUCUGUCUCUCUCUGUCUCUCUCUCCCUCUCUCUGUGUAACUCAACCCAGUGUAGUAGUAUGGUAUGUUCUUCGUCAUCACUACUACUGUCAUGCCAAACCAAGGAAGAAGAAGAGGAAGGAAAGGGACGAUGUUGUUGUCGCUGGAAAACCCGGACAACGUUUAUAUGCUUGAAAUCCAUUUUUUAUUUUUAUUUUUUUGCAAGAAAAAAAGUUGAGAAGGAAGUUUGAGGAAUUUGAAAGAAAUUAAGUGUAAAGCAAUGUAUUGUAAUGUACAAAUCCCCCUGAUAGGUGCCGAGCCGCAAAACGUAUUAUCCUGGGAUCAUUAGUCUUCUAUCUGAGAAGACGAGCGCUGCGUGUUACCAUGGUUAUCCUUCCCAACUCUGGUUAACAUGAUGAGGCUCUGUGGCUUUUAGUUAAGACUUGACUGGGGAGGAAUCACGUGUCUCAUUGUCAUUUACAUUGACGAUGACCCUGGAAAGCUUUAGUCUAUUAUAUAUAUAUAUCAGCACAGCACAAAGACCUGGGAGUUAGAGGGGUAACGGGGGAGGGUAGCGAGGGAAGAUUGGGGAAGGUAGCGAGGGAGAAUUGGGGAAGGUAGCGAGGGAUGAUUGGGGGGGAGGGUAAUGGGGGAGUAGGGUGCUCAAAGAGACUAUGCAAUGGUGUUAUCCAGCCUUCCAUGUUUAUUCGGGGUUGGUUUGUUGAUAUCUAAAGGCCAGUCCACAGUGGAGACCUGGGCAGUGUUCCAGACCUGUCUCCUAUGUUACUGCACUACUGAUGACCAGGGACUCAUAGACAGUGAUUUGCCCUCUGUAGGAACUACGGUGCCACAGCGCAGCCAGGAGGUCACGGUAAUUCCUAAAAAAAAACAUGUGUGCCAUCACCUUUUCUACCUACUAGCCAACCAACCAGCCACAGGGGACAGCUAUAGGCAAGAGGUUAGAUUUACUGCUGCUUCCAUAGAGAUGUUCUAUCGCUGAGCGUUCUAGAGUUCUAUCACUGAGAGUUCUAGAGUUCUAUCAGCUAGAAGUCUCUCCUUUACUUCUAUAGAGAUGUUCUAUCGCUGAGCGUUCUAGAGUUCUAUCGCUGAGAGUUCUAGUUCUAUCAGCUAGAAGUCUCUCCUUUACUUCUAAAGAGACGUUCUAUCGCUGAGCGUUCUAUCAGCUAGAAGUCUCUCCUUUACUUCUAUAGAGACGUUCUAUCACUGAGAAUUCUAUCAGCAAGAAGUCUCUCCUUUACUUAUAUAGAGACGUUCUAUCGCUGAGCGUUCUAGAGUUCUAUCAGCUAGAAGUCUCUCCUUUACUUCUAUAGAGACGUUCUAUCGCUGAGAGUUCUAGAGUUCUAUCACUGAGAGUUCUAGAGUUCUAUCACUGAGAGUUCUAGAGUUCUAUCAGCUAGAAGUCUCUCCUUUACUUCUAUAGAGACGUUCUAUCACUGAGAAUUCUAUAAUUUUCUCCUUUACUUCUAUAGAGACGUUCUAUCACUGAGAAUUCUAGAAUUCUCUCCUUUACUUCUAUAGAGACAUUCUAUCACUGAGAAUUCUAGAAUUCUCUCCUUUACUUCUAUAGAGACAUUCUAUCACUGAGAAUUCUAGAAUUCUCUCCUUUAUUUCUAGAGACAUUCUAUCACUGAGAAUUGUAUCAGCUAGAAGCCUCACACCUUGAGAUGCAGAGUAGAAUAUUGGCCUGACCUGUAAACCUAAUAUGCACAUUGCUUUGGGAGGCUGAUUGAUACGAUGUACAGAGAGAGGAAACCCCAUGUCUAUAAUAUGACUAAAUAAUUAGACUUGACAGUUACAGGGACAGUGUUUUGGCGUUGUGUCUUCCUGACGGGGGGUUCAGGGUCUUCGGGGGGAAACUGCACUUUCUGAAGGACAAUCCUUAGAGGCCUGACUGAACGUUUAACCAAGGUAGAGACUCCAGCCUGCUCCUCCCACCGUCAUCCCAUGUCUCCUCCUCCCAUCGUCGUCACCACGACGACCACGAUGAUGCUGGCAUUCUGUUGUCAUUUGUUUUUAUUUCAUAAUAAUAAUGAUAUAUAUUAUUAUUUUUUUUUUUCUUCUUGGUUGAGGUUUUAUUUUACUUUAUUUUGGUGAUUUAUUUUUAGUGCUAUUAAAGAGAAUGUGUACCGAAGGUGUUUAUUAGGUUGGUUGGUGGACGGUCUCCUGGGCUGAGCCGACCCGGCCGACCGAGCGCUAGACAUAUUGAUAACUGUUUGUAAACAUUCUGGCCGUAGUGUCGGAAACACAAAAGCUGUAUAACUUGGGUGCAACCCUCAAUAAAAAGACUAACAGUGAUUGUCGUCUGUUCAUUUCUGGCCCCAAAUAGAGCCCUACACCCUACACACUUGUUAGGGGCGUGAUGUCGUCUGUUCAUUUCUGGCCCCAAAUAGAGCCCUACACCCUACACACUUGUUAGGGGCGUGAUGUCGUCUGUUCAUUUCUGGCCCUAUCCCCAAAUAGAGCCCUACACCCUACACACUUGUUAGGGGCGGCAGGGUGUCAAAGGAAUUGAACCAUUCCUGUAUGUGUUCAUUAAACAAUUCAAUUAAAAUCACUCUGUCUUGUUUCUAAGAAUUUGUAAGAUCCUUAAUUGCAUGAAAUAGACAGACCAGUCUUAUCAAAAUUAGCCAAUGGCAUUUAUUAUCGAGAGCGCGCUGCUCAUAGAGCCCUCUAUAACAGUAUAUAUAUCAAAUAUGACGUCAUAGGUUAUAAAAUGUCUCUCCUCCUCUCGACCAGGACAAAGCAGGUUCAAAGGUUAAUUCCAACUCACUAGCGCAUAUACCUGACACACACUAUAACUGGAUUAACUCCUGAAGUCUCACUAUAGUUUAUUACCACUAAACAGACAGUUCCAUCGCUGAGCGUUCUAGAGUUCUAGGUAAAACUGGUAAAACUAGGGACCCUGGGCCGAUCCCUGACAUUUGGUCUAGGUAAAACUGGUAAAACUAGGGACCCUGGGCCGAUCCCUGACAUUUGGUCUAGGUAAAACUGGUAAAACUAGGGACCCCGGGCCGAUCCCUGACAUUUGGUCUAGGUAAAACUAGGGACCCUGGGCCGAUCCCUGACAUUUGGUCUAGGUAAAACUAGGGACCCUGGGCCAAUCCCUGACAUUUGGUCUAGGUAAAACUGGUAAAACUAGGGACCCCGGGCCGAUCCCUGACAUUUGGUCUAGGUAAAACUGGUAAAACUAGGGACCCCGGGCCGAUCCCUGACAUUUGGUCUAGGUAAAACUGGUGACCAGUUUGUUCUCAAAGACACUGUGCAGAAAUCACUCCAGCAUUUCCUGGUUGCUACGAUGUCAGUAUAUGUGACAAGACAAGCAGUGUAGAGAAUCAUUAUGUUGUGUUUUUAAAGCUGGUUUACAAAAACAUUUUAUUGAAUGGGAAACAGAACUGCUCUACUGCUGCGUAGACUUGCUUUCAAGGACCGUGACAGAUCCAUAACUCAUAUUUCUACGUGAAUUUGGUUGGGGCGUGACUGAGGGAACUCCCUGAACCACAAGAUGG